RNAcentral lists this ribosomal RNA (603 nucleotides) under uncultured bacterium. RNAcentral's name for it is "bacterial SSU rRNA". It matches the Rfam family "Bacterial small subunit ribosomal RNA", at positions 218 to 841 of the family's 1533-position model. The record is from RNAcentral.
GUACAGGAUGGACCCGCGUCUGAUUAGCUAGUUGGUAAGGUAACGGCUUACCAAGGCGACGAUCAGUAGCCGACCUGAGAGGGUGAUCGGCCACAUUGGAACUGAGACACGGUCCAAACUCCUACGGGAGGCAGCAGUGGGGAAUAUUGCACAAUGGGCGAAAGCCUGAUGCAGCAACGCCGCGUGAGUGAUGAAGGCCUUCGGGUCGUAAAACUCUGUCCUCAAGGAAGAUAAUGACGGUACUUGAGGAGGAAGCCCCGGCUAACUACGUGCCAGCAGCCGCGGUAAUACGUAGGGGGCUAGCGUUAUCCGGAUUUACUGGGCGUAAAGGGUGCGUAGGCGCUCUUUCAAGUCAGGAGUGAAAGGCUACGGCUCACCCGUAGUAAGCUCUUGAAACUGGGAGACUUGAGUGCAGGAGAGGAGAGUGGAAUUCCUAGUGUAGCGGUGAAAUGCGUAGAUAUUAGGAGGAACACCAGUUGCGAAGGCGGCUCUCUGGACUGUAACUGACGCUGAGGCACGAAAGCGUGGGGAGCAAACAGGAUUAGAUACCCUGGUAGUCCACGCUGUAAACGAUGAGUACUAGGUGUCGGGGGUUACCCCCUU